UACGGAGGAUGCGAGCGUUAUCCGGAUUUAUUGGGUUUAAAGGGUGCGUAGGCGGCUUAGUAAGUCAGCGGUGAAAUUUUGCAGCUUAACUGUAACAGUGCCGUUGAUACUGCCAGGCUAGGAUUUGGUUGCUGUGGGUGGAAUGUGUGGUGUAGCGGUAAAAUGCUUAGAUAUCACACAGAAUAUCGAUUGCGAAGGCAGCUCACAAAGCCAAGAUUGACGCUGAGGCACGAAAGUGUGGGGAUCAAACAGGAUUA
This 257-nucleotide ribosomal RNA is filed under the name uncultured prokaryote. Its description in RNAcentral is "partial 16S ribosomal RNA". It matches the Rfam family "Bacterial small subunit ribosomal RNA", at positions 524 to 780 of the family's 1533-position model. The record is from RNAcentral.